ACUGGAAUCAGUAUUGCCAACAUUAGGCUUACAUUAUAAUAGGCUGGGGUAGCGUCAGCAAAACUCUUUUCACAUCUAUGCUUAAUUUGGUUGAGAUCGUCAGUAUUUUUGAUAGGAGGUGAAAGAAAUCUACAGACAUCAUGUGAACUAGAAUCUAAAAUAAGCAUUCUUAUGCUUAAAAUUGGAUUACAAUCAUUGCAUCAAAGAUGUGCUUGAAUCUGGCGAAUUUACGUUCAGAGCACAUGGUCUGAGGAGGAUGGAAAGAAGAAAAGUUUUGGAAAGAUAAUUCAACUCUACUGGAUUAUAGAAAUUAUAUAUGAUAUAUGAGGUUCCAUAGGCUUCAUUCAAAUUGUGGACAAUUCAGUACAAGAAUUAUAAAGUUAUUAAAAGAAUAAAAU
Long non-coding RNA from Nicrophorus vespilloides, 398 nucleotides. RefSeq lists it as uncharacterized. The record is from RefSeq and is a predicted model, not a curated record. Lineage: Eukaryota; Metazoa; Arthropoda; Insecta; Coleoptera; Silphidae. The transcript has 3 exons.